GCUCCUACCGAUUGAGUGAUCCGGUGAAUAAUUCGGACUGCAGCAGCGUCCAGUUCCUGGAUGCUGCAGCGGAAAGUUUAGUAAACCUUAUCACUUAGAGGAAGGAGAAGUCGUAACAAGGUUUCCGU
RNAcentral lists this ribosomal RNA (128 nucleotides) under Margalefidinium polykrikoides. RNAcentral's name for it is "partial small subunit ribosomal RNA". It matches the Rfam family "Eukaryotic small subunit ribosomal RNA", at positions 1678 to 1806 of the family's 1831-position model. The record is from RNAcentral. Lineage: Eukaryota; Dinophyceae; Gymnodiniales; Gymnodiniaceae.